AAAAGGAAAGAUGGAAAGAAAGGAAGACACCAGACAAAAGGGACACCAAGAAGUGUCAAGCAAAUGAAGGUGCUAUUGGAGGAUUCAACAAAAGAUUUGAGAUCACUUCUUUUCAUGCUUAAUAUCUCCCAAAGGAGAAGAAGCCGCCCUAAAGUAUUCCAAAAAUAUGAGAGAUAAUCAACUUACAGAACAGCAGAGCUUCUCCAAAAGAGGAAGAGAUUGUUGAUUAACAGCUAAGAGUUGUGAUGAAGGAUGAACAGCUGAGUUUUUUCUUCCUUGAACUGGAGCUGAGGAUGACACAUCAAGAGGAAAUGCAAGACAG
Molecule: long non-coding RNA, 322 nt
Filed under: Gallus gallus (chicken)
Lineage: Eukaryota; Metazoa; Chordata; Aves; Galliformes; Phasianidae
Source: RNAcentral